This 855-nucleotide long non-coding RNA is filed under the name Vitis vinifera (wine grape). Its description in RNAcentral is "long non-coding RNA (VVIN_LNC006181)". The record is from RNAcentral. Lineage: Eukaryota; Viridiplantae; Streptophyta; Magnoliopsida; Vitales; Vitaceae.
CUAAAUGUUGUUUCUAGCCAAAUAUAAGAUUGGCAGCAUCUGGGACUAUGGCAAAAAAGUGUAUUAUUCAUAAAAUCCUGCAUGUUAUAUGUGGAAUGUGCAUCUACUAUUAUUCUUCUGGAUACUUUGCUCCAUCCUUUGUGGCUGAUACCUCCAUCCAAAUCUGAUGUUAAAUCCUGCAUAAUAUGUAUCUAAUCUCAUUCUUUAGCCUACCUUGCUCAAUCAGCUUGCAUUGUCAUCCUAAUUUGUGAGCAACAUCAACCAACUACUGCUCCUUGGUUGAUGAGUGCUAGAUUUGCUGGUAUGCAAAGCUCCAUGCGCUAAUGCAUAUUAAAAAGGAAAAAAGAAAGAAAGAAGGGAAGGGAAAAAAAAAAGAAUGAAACAAAGAAAAAAAAACUCCAUGGUCUAAAUAAUAAAUAAUCAAAUUGAAUUUUUUGGCUUUUGGAAGAUGAGAUGACAAUUUUUUUUCAUUGUUUCUUGAAAAUAUUUGCUGUUUGUGUGGUGCUUAUUUUGAUUCAAAUGAUAUACUUUUAGAAUUUGGUUAUGUACUAUGCUUGAUUUAUUCGGUGAAUGUAUUUUUUGAUAGGUAACUUAAAUUAAAUUGUCUAAAGCAGAUGCAACCUAAGUAUGGGGUGGGUUAUUUAUUUAUUUAUUUUUUGAUAGGUGGGUGCAGGGUGGGUUAUAUACAUGGAUAAUUCAAAAGAGAAAAAAAAAGGAAAAAUGAAAACACACGCAGAGAGAAACAAAUAAAAUAAAAUGAAAAGUGAAGGAUGCCCUCCUUCUUAAAGACAACCCAAAGCACCAAUCAUCUUUAUGAAAGAAUGAUCUCCUGUUCCCAAUUGAUCUGCCUGAUCA